This 433-nucleotide ribosomal RNA is filed under the name uncultured Lachnospiraceae bacterium. RNAcentral describes it as "partial 16S ribosomal RNA". It matches the Rfam family "Bacterial small subunit ribosomal RNA", at positions 341 to 792 of the family's 1533-position model. Lineage: Bacteria; Bacillati; Bacillota; Clostridia; Lachnospirales; Lachnospiraceae. The record is from RNAcentral.
ACGGGAGGCAGCAGUGGGGAAUAUUGCACAAUGGGCGAAAGCCUGAUGCAGCGACGCCGCGUGAGUGAAGAAGUACCUCGGUAUGUAAAGCUCUAUCAGCAGGGAAGAAAUGACAGUACCUGACUAAGAAGCACCGGCUAAAUACGUGCCAGCAGCCGCGGUAAUACGUAUGGCGCAAGCGUUAUCCGGAUUUACUGGGUGUAAAGGGAGCGUAGGCGGUCUGGCAAGUCUGAUGUGAAAACCCGGGGCUUAACCUCGGGAUUGCAUUGGAAACUGUCGGACUUGAGUGUCGGAGAGGUAAGCGGAAUUCCUAGUGUAGCGGUGAAAUGCGUAGAUAUUAGGAGGAACACCAGUGGCGAAGGCGGCUUUCUGGACGAUAACUGACGCUGAGGCUCGAAAGCGUGGGGAGCAAACAGGAUUAGAUACCCUGGUA